AUGAAUGGAAUAUCGAAAUCUGCUUCUUCCCCAAUUAUCCUUCUUCUUCUCUAACCUUCUCCUUCCCCCCUCUCAUCUCUCCCCAUCUCUCUGUAUCUCUCCAUCUCAAUUUCCCCUCUCCUCUACUCUCUACUCUCUACUCUCUACUUCUCUUUCUCUUUUCUCUGUCACUAUCUCCCUUUCCCUUACCUCUUCUAGCUCGGUUACCUCGGAUCGGCGACUCAAGGCCACCAUCAUCCUCAUCGCCGACCAAGCCUCAGAGCAAUCUCAUCAUCGGCGGCUGUGACAGGUCCGGGGUUAUUACAGUAAAAUCACCCAAAACACGAGUUGUCUAAACAAAGUACUUUUACAAAAAAAAUUUCUCUUCCAAUAUGUAUGAUUGAAUUCCAAAUAUAACAAUCGUAGAGGAGCAAAUCCGUAAUUAUAUUUUUCCCUUCAUCUAUAAUAGAGCACGUCAAAACUUCCCCCAUAAUAAUAAUUAUAACAAUAUUUACUAGUAACAUAUAAUAUAUUUUUUUAGACUAAAUUAUAGAAAAACUCCCUGUCAAAAUCCGAUUUUUCACUUUUUUUCUUUCUCUUUUAAAAACCUACACUUUACCCCUUUGUAAAAUGAAAAAUGUUCACAAGGGAACAGUGUGAAUUGUGAUGAUAAAAUGAGAAUUUUGCCCCUCAUCAUGUUCACAAAAGAAAAGGCUGAGGGCAUUUCUGGCAUAAAAAUAUAUAUAAUAAUAUUUUAUAAAUGAAAUCCUAACGGAUUACUAACGGCAUGGGACGAAGUGAACAUUUUUUAUUUUACAAAGGGGCAAAGUGUAGGUUUUUAAAUGAUAGGGGGAAAGUGAAAAAUCGGGUUUUGACUGGAGGGUUUUAUGUAAUUUAGCCAUUUUAUUAUUAUUAUUACGAACGCAUAAUAAGGAUAGCGAUCUGAUAAAUGUGGACGAAAU
RNAcentral lists this long non-coding RNA (941 nucleotides) under Ananas comosus (pineapple). RNAcentral's name for it is "long non-coding RNA (ACOM_LNC014354)". The record is from RNAcentral. Lineage: Eukaryota; Viridiplantae; Streptophyta; Magnoliopsida; Poales; Bromeliaceae.